This 71-nucleotide transfer RNA is filed under the name Loxodonta africana (African savanna elephant). It matches the Rfam family "tRNA". From Rfam's summary of the family: Transfer RNA (tRNA) molecules are approximately 80 nucleotides in length. The record is from Rfam by way of RNAcentral. Lineage: Eukaryota; Metazoa; Chordata; Mammalia; Proboscidea; Elephantidae.
ACAAUGGUGGUCCAGUGGUAGAAUUCUCAUCUUCCGUGUGGGAGACCUGAGUUCAAUUCCCAGCUAAUGCA